Molecule: long non-coding RNA, 655 nt
Organism: Salvia miltiorrhiza (redroot sage)
Lineage: Eukaryota; Viridiplantae; Streptophyta; Magnoliopsida; Lamiales; Lamiaceae
Exons: 3
Source: RefSeq, a predicted model, not a curated record
AAGAUUCCAUAAGAUCUCAAAAUCUUCUUUAAAGAUCACAAGAUCAAUUACAAUCUUUCCAAAUAUUUUCUCUCUCCCUCACUCACCAUUUUCGGCCACCCCUCUUCUCCCACAUCUCUCACUUUCCUCCAUUUUCCUCCAUUGAAGAGACCUUCGGAGCUUCCAAAAAUUUUACCAAACACCUCAAUUCACUCUAAAAUCUUCCAUAAACAUAUCCUAGCUACUUAUAUUCAAGAGAAUCCUUGAAGAAGGGCUUCAAAGCUAGAGUGAGAAAGUGUGAGUCUUGGUAAGAAACUUGGGCCCGAGCGAGACGAAGAAGUAAGUUGCCUGAUUUUCUUUCCAGGAUUAGCGAAGGACUUCAGGCUAAGCGAGGAGCGAGAUUGGUCUGGUGCUAGUGGGGGAAACGUUUCAAUCGAUGUAAUUAUAUUUCCGUAUUGCCUUCAUGUUAAUAGAGUCUUGAGGAUUGAGAUACUUUGUUUUCUUUUGAAAUCAAGCAAUUUACUCACGGUUAUGUGUCUUCAUACAUGUAAUCGAUUUGCCUUUUUGCUGCGAUACUCUGCAUAUUAUGCUUCCUUAUGAAAAAUGAGCUAUACCCGCUUUGUUUUUGUUCGUGAAAUUCCUGAUAAUUAAAAAGUUAUAACGACGUUGACGAUUU